This is a long non-coding RNA of Carassius auratus (goldfish), 558 nucleotides long. RefSeq lists it as uncharacterized. The transcript has 2 exons. Lineage: Eukaryota; Metazoa; Chordata; Actinopteri; Cypriniformes; Cyprinidae. The record is from RefSeq and is a predicted model, not a curated record.
UGGCCCUUCUUAUAAUUACCUGUCGGUGUGUUUAAAUUCACAGUGUCCAGUCUGAAGUGGUAUUGUGGAGGUAGUGUAUGCAUUUCUCCAUUUAUAUACCACAGAGAAAUUUUUAGAAAAAAGCUUAGUUUGAUUUCUUUUUUCUUAUCAUGUAUUUGUUUCUUUUGCUAAUAUAGAUGUGUCUCAAAUAUCUUUGUUAAAAACACCAUUCCGUCAAUAAAUAAGAUUUUAUUCAUCAUUAUAACAUGUGCAUAUCCCAUUAUUCUCAAAAAUAAUACUUUUUUAACCAAAUAAAUAUCUACCUUUACACAGAAAAAAAAUGAAUUUGCAAAUGUAAAGGACAAUGGAUAUUGCAUACUGUAAUCAAUGAGGCUUUUAUCAAAUAUUUACUUUUUUGCUUUAGUGUAGGACAUGGUCGGAUGAAUAAAUGAGUAAAACAGGUCAAAUGUGUCAAACUUUGAAGUUCAUGGUUAGUUCUGUAGUUCUGAUAUUUACAAAAGAAGUCUUUGAAGCAUCUAAUUUCUCUUGAUGAAGGACUCAUACAGGGAGGUGAGCUGG